This 334-nucleotide unclassified non-coding RNA is filed under the name soil metagenome. RNAcentral's name for it is "partial contains 5.8S ribosomal RNA, internal transcribed spacer 2, and large subunit ribosomal RNA". The stretch from base 5 to 119 matches the Rfam family "5.8S ribosomal RNA", at positions 40 to 154 of the family's 154-position model. The record is from RNAcentral.
GAUGAGAACGUAGCGAAAUGCGAUAAGUAAUGUGAAUUGCAGAAUUCAGUGAAUCAUCGAAUCUUUGAACGCACAUUGCGCCCGCUAGUAUUCUGGCGGGCAUGCCUGUUCGAGCGUCAUUUCAACCAUCAAGCCCUUUAGCUUGUGUUGGGGACCUGCGGCUGCCGCAGCCCCCGAAAUGCAGUGGCGGGCUCGUUGUCACACCGAGUGCAGUAAUCAUUCUUCUCUCCGGGCGUGGCGGCGGGUUCCGGCCGUAAAAUCACCAAUUUAUCAAGGUUGACCUCGGAUCAGGUAGGAAUACCCGCUGAACUUAAGCAUAUCAAUAAGCGGAGGA